RNAcentral lists this ribosomal RNA (231 nucleotides) under uncultured Buellia. Its description in RNAcentral is "partial small subunit ribosomal RNA". It matches the Rfam family "Bacterial small subunit ribosomal RNA", at positions 524 to 776 of the family's 1533-position model. The record is from RNAcentral. Lineage: Eukaryota; Fungi; Ascomycota; Lecanoromycetes; Caliciales; Caliciaceae.
UACGUAAAAGACUAGUGUUACUCAUCUUGAAUAGGUUUAAAGGGUACCUAGACAGCCAAUCAAGCCCCAAAAGGGUACUAAUGGGCUAGAGUUUAAUAUAAGUAGGCUUUAAAGUACUGAGAAUGUUGAGAGAUGAAAUUCUGUGAUACUAUAUACGGCACUGGUAAAGGCGAAAGCAUCUUAUUAUGUAAAAACUGACGUUGAGGUGCGAAAGCAUGGGGAUCAAAGGGG